RNAcentral lists this ribosomal RNA (397 nucleotides) under uncultured bacterium. RNAcentral's name for it is "partial 16S ribosomal RNA". It matches the Rfam family "Bacterial small subunit ribosomal RNA", at positions 523 to 918 of the family's 1533-position model. The record is from RNAcentral.
AUACGUAGGGGGCGAGCGUUGUCCGGAAUGAUUGGGCGUAAAGGGCGCGUAGGCGGCGCGGUAAGUCUGGAGUGAAAGUCCUGCUUUCAAGGAUGGAAGUGCUACAGAAACUGCGGAGCUUGAGUGCAGGAGAGGUUAUCGGAAUUCCCGGUGUAGCGGUGAAAUGCGUAGAGAUCGGGAGGAACACCAGUGGCGAAGGCGGGUAACUGGACUGCAACUGACGCUGAGGCGCGAAAGUGUGGGGAGCAAACAGGAUUAGAUACCCUGGUAGUCCACACUGUAAACGAUGAAUGCUAGGUGUAGGAGGUAUCGACCCCUUCUGUGCCGCAGUAAACACAGUAAGCAUUCCGCCUGGGGAGUACGGUCGCAAGAUUAAAACUCAAAUGAAUGGACGGGG